Mauremys reevesii (Reeves's turtle) is the source of this 299-nucleotide long non-coding RNA. RefSeq lists it as uncharacterized. NCBI's taxonomy places the organism in Eukaryota, Metazoa, Chordata, Testudines, Geoemydidae. The transcript is spliced from 3 exons. The record is from RefSeq and is a predicted model, not a curated record.
GGGUAUUUGAGUCCAGAACUGAGGGAAUGGGCUGUAGCAAGUGUGCCCUGUUUGGUUUACAUGGGUUCUUGUAAGUAUGGUGCCAGUGGGCACAGAGGAGCUGUUUGCAUCCAUGAGAUCCUUAAGAGGCUUCAAGAGGUGCAGUUUGUGAAAGAAGGAUAGAUGUGAGGCCCCAUCUGGUGGAAAAAGAAUUUUGUCUGAAGAUGGGGGUCCAGUUGGGCAAAGAACAAGUGAAGUAGACGUAUGCCUGUAGGGGACAUGAAGUACUUAUUCUCAAAAUGGAAGUGGAUUUGAUGUCA